ACUUCCGUAUUAGGCAAUCGAAGCUGCGACGCCAUCGAUCGAUUUCUUGGAGUCUCCCUCGACCUCUGAAAACCUUUCUCCCCCAAUUUAGUUAGGCUCGCUGCUUUGGAUUUCGUUUCUAGGGUUCCGAUCCAGGGAGCGAGGCCGCUCGAGAGGGAGGUAUGGAUUGGGGAAGCGUGACCGCGGAGGAUCUGUUCAACGCCCUGCGUGAAGUUGAGUGGUCCUCGCCGCCGCGCUCCAUCUCGGAGUUCUUCUCCCGAUUCACCGUCCCCAGAUCCUACUCUAAAUGGAGCAGUCGACUUAAGUGCAAUCUUUACUACUACAGAACGAAUUACUUCAUCCUGAUCUUUUUUGUUCUUGCUGUGGGAUUUCUUCUGAAGCCUCUUGCUGUUGUUGCAGCCUUUCUCACAGGUUUAAGCAACGCAUUUUUAAACGAUAGCUUUGCCGUAACUUUUAAUGAGAAAGUAACAAGGGCUGUCAGACAGUUUUCUCCUCAUCUAGCUGCAAAGUUGAGACCCCCUAUUGCGCCAGUAAUUGGUGGAAGAUCAUCAACAAAAAGAGCAAUCCAUAUAUGUGGCCGGCCUCGCUGGGUAUUUGUCCUAAUAUCCUCAGCUGCUAGUUGCAUCCUCUGGUUGACCUCCUGCAACCUCCUUUCAGUACUUUGGGCAUUCACCAUUGGGCUGCUUGCAACAAUACUUCAUGCAAGCUUCAGAUCACCCAACCUGAAAGCACGCCUCAACACAUUCCGAGAGGAGUUUCGAGCAGUGUGGCGCAAUUAUAGCGAGCUAUAAUGACUGAGGUGAAGAUUAUUUUCCUGGAAGUGAUUUUUCAUUCUCACACCUUCAGCUCAAAAGUGAAGGACGUAACCCCAAUAGUCAGAUUCGGCUUGAAACUUUCUACUUUCUAGUGAUGCAAGUUUUCCUCCAAGAUGGUCAUUUUAGUUGGAUGGUACAAUCAUGUACAGAAGCUGGUACGAUACGUGCUGCCUUGCCAUCGUCUUAUUGUAGUACAAACUGACAAGUGAUAACCUAAAAUGAUUACUUUGUAAGCUCUGAUUUUAGAAGGGAACUUUGCCAUUGCCUAUCUAUGGAUGCAAAUGCUGAUGGCUUAGUUGUGGAUCAUGCUGGCGAAUAAAAUUACAAUGUUCUAUAGCUUUGUCACCA
Molecule: RNA transcript, 1163 nt
Organism: Zingiber officinale
Lineage: Eukaryota; Viridiplantae; Streptophyta; Magnoliopsida; Zingiberales; Zingiberaceae
Gene name: PRA1 family protein A3-like
Exons: 8
Source: RefSeq, a predicted model, not a curated record